GAAAAAUAAGCACGGUGUAAAUGUGUGUUGCCUUAAAACAUUUUAUGUUUUUUUGUUUUGUUUUGUUAGUUCAACGUAAAUUAGACUCUCCUGAUAGAAUAAGUUAAGGGGUGAGACCAAGAAAAAGGCAGAAGAGAGAUGAGGUCAGAAAAGAAGGCCUCUGCCAUCUUGGUGGAUAAGUGGUGCUUUCUCCUGUAAGGCACCCUUCCAUAUCCUUUCUCAUACCUGUAUUCUUGGCUGUAUUAGCACCAUUUUGGAGAGCACCUCUGGGAUUCACUAUCAUGCUGUCUUCAGGGUCCUUAUCCUUUGUCUUAAGAUGAUGCUAGUUCAUAAAGAAAUCCUUUCAAUUCUUCAGUUACAAAACCAUCUUUUAAAUGAGGUUCAGACCUUUUUUGAUUUGAAUUCAAUUCAGUUCUGU
This 418-nucleotide long non-coding RNA is filed under the name Pan troglodytes (chimpanzee). Its description in RNAcentral is "long non-coding RNA NONPTRT012704". The record is from RNAcentral. Lineage: Eukaryota; Metazoa; Chordata; Mammalia; Primates; Hominidae.